GUAAAAAUGGUGUUUUGAGGACUACGAGUUUGGGUACUCAGGCGGCACAAACAGAUGGUUUUAAGCUUGCGGAAUAACAUCGUACUUCUAUUAAAUCAGGUGGGUUCCAUUAGGUAAACUCUCACUUAAUAGAGUAGCUUUAUUAGCUUUCCCCCAAAUUCAUGAUGCAUGUCAACUUAUGAUUUUAGGAUUAAUUAGGAUAACUCUAUAAUUGAACUAAUUAAUGAUUUAAACAAGCCCUUAAGAUGAUUGAAAUGACUGUAUGUUGUGGAAUUUAGGAUAAACCAGAGGGGGUGGAUUUUGAUCUAGCUUGAAGGUUUUGAUCAUCUGUUAUAAGAGGUAGUUAUCUUCUUGUAUCUCUUUAUAUCUCCAAUUUGGUUUUUAGAUUUACAGUUCAGAUUACUUCUUAUUGGCUACUGAUUUGAUUUACAAGUUUGAUUGAAAAAAAUGUAAUAACAUGUAUAUAGUAUUUAUACCGGCGAGGAAGAGAGUUCCUGCCGAGAGAGUUGCAGUGGCAGUUCACGGUGACACCGCGGUGCUUGGCGAUGGAGGUGAUGAAGCCCUUUUCUCCUUCUUUACUCUGGUUCCAUAUGUUACUUUCUAUACUCUAUUUAUUUGAUUUUUUUCCUGUUGUUUUCUGCUUUGUUUGUUUUAUUCUAGCCUAUUUUUUUCCACCCUUCAUUCUCUUCCUAACCAAAAUCAAAAUGGAUGCAGGGUCCUAUCCUUCAUUUUCCAUUCUUCUUUUCAUUGCAGCAAUCAUAACUGCUUAUUAUCAUUCAGCUGAAGCAGCUAUGUCUAAAGGAUCUUUUGAAGAUAAUUUCAGCAUAAUGUUGUCCCANNN
Molecule: long non-coding RNA, 841 nt
Filed under: Trifolium pratense (red clover)
Lineage: Eukaryota; Viridiplantae; Streptophyta; Magnoliopsida; Fabales; Fabaceae
Description: long non-coding RNA (TPRA_LNC013705)
Source: RNAcentral